RNAcentral lists this ribosomal RNA (492 nucleotides) under uncultured bacterium. RNAcentral's name for it is "bacterial SSU rRNA". It matches the Rfam family "Bacterial small subunit ribosomal RNA", at positions 28 to 480 of the family's 1533-position model. The record is from RNAcentral.
GACGAACGCUGGCGGCGUGCCUAAUACAUGCAAGUCGAGCGAGCUUGCCUAGAUGAAUUUGGUGCUUGCACCAGAUGAAACUAGAUACAAGCGAGCGGCGGACGGGUGAGUAACACGUGGGUAACCUGCCCAAGAGACUGGGAUAACACCUGGAAACAGAUGCUAAUACCGGAUAACAACACUAGACGCAUGUCUAGAGUUUAAAAGAUGGUUCUGCUAUCACUCUUGGAUGGACCUGCGGUGCAUUAGCUAGUUGGUAAGGUAACGGCUUACCAAGGCAAUGAUGCAUAGCCGAGUUGAGAGACUGAUCGGCCACAUUGGGACUGAGACACGGCCCAAACUCCUACGGGAGGCAGCAGUAGGGAAUCUUCCACAAUGGACGCAAGUCUGAUGGAGCAACGCCGCGUGAGUGAAGAAGGGUUUCGGCUCGUAAAGCUCUGUUGGUAGUGAAGAAAGAUAGAGGUAGUAACUGGCCUUUAUUUGACGGUAAUU